AAUAAGCGGAGGAAAAGAAACCAACAGGGAUUGCCCUAGUAACGGCGAGUGAAGCGGCAACAGCUCAAAUUUGAAAUCUGGCUCUCGGGCCCGAGUUGUAAUUUGUAGAGGAUGCUUUUGAUGCGGUGCCUUCCGAGUUCCCUGGAACGGGACGCCGUAGAGGGUGAGAGCCCCGUCUGGUUGGAUGCCAAAUCUCUGUAAAGCUCCUUCGACGAGUCGAGUAGUUUGGGAAUGCUGCUCUAAAUGGGAGGUAUAUGUCUUCUAAAGCUAAAUACCGGCCAGAGACCGAUAGCGCACAAGUAGAGUGAUCGAAAGAUGAAAAGCACUUUGAAAAGAGAGUUAAAAAGUACGUGAAAUUGUUGAAAGGGAAGCGUUUAUGACCAGACUUGGGCUUGGUUAAUCAUCUGGGGUUCUCCCCAGUGCACUUUUCCAGUCCAGGCCAGCAUCAGUUUUCGCCGGGGGAUAAAGGCUUCGGGAAUGUGGCUCUCUCCGGGGAGUGUUAUAGCCCGUUGCGUAAUACCCUGGCGGGGACUGAGGUUCGCGCAUCUGCAAGGAUGCUGGCGUAAUGGUCAUCAACGACCCGUCUUGAAACACGGACCAAGGAGUCGUCUUCGUAUGCGAGUGUUCGGGUGUCAAACCCCUACGCGUAAUGAAAGUGAACGCAGGUGAGAGCUUCGGCGCAUCAUCGACCGAUCCUGAUGUUCUCGGAUGGAUUUGAGUAAGAGCAUACGGGGCCGGACCCGAAAGAAGGUGAACUAUGCCUGUGUAGGGUGAAGCCAGAGGAAACUCUGGUGGAGGCUCGCAGCGGUUCUGACGUGCAAAUCGAUCGUCAAACAUGGGCAUGGGGGCGAAAGACUAAUCGAACCUUCUAGUAGCUGGUUUCCGCCGAAGUUUCCC
This 897-nucleotide ribosomal RNA is filed under the name Fusarium flocciferum. RNAcentral's name for it is "LSU rRNA". It matches the Rfam family "Eukaryotic large subunit ribosomal RNA", at positions 45 to 972 of the family's 3401-position model. Lineage: Eukaryota; Fungi; Ascomycota; Sordariomycetes; Hypocreales; Nectriaceae. The record is from RNAcentral.